GAUGAACGCUGGCGGCGUGCCUAAUACAUGCAAGUCGAGCGAAUGGAUUAAGAGCUUGCUCUUAUGAAGUUAGCGGCGGACGGGUGAGUAACGCGUGGGUAACCUGCCCAUAAGACUGGGAUAACUCCGGGAAACAGGGGCUAAUACCGGAUAACAUUUUGAACCGCAUGGUUCGAAAUUGAAAGGCGGCUUCGGCUGUCACUUAUGGAUGGACCCGCGUGGCAUGAGCUAGUUGGUGAGGUACAGGCUCACAAAGGCAACGAUGCGUAGCCGACCUGAGAGGGUGAUCGGCCACAAUGGGACUGAGACACGGCCCAGACUCCUACGGGAGGCAGCAGUAGGGAAUCUUCCGCAAUGGACGAAAGUCUGACGGAGCAACGCCGCGUGAGUGAUGAAGGCUUUCGGGUCGUAAAACUCUGUUGUUAGGGAAGAACAAGUGCUAGUUGAAUAAGCUGGCACCUUGACGGUACCUAACCAGAAAGCCACGGCUAACUACGUGCCAGCAGCCGCCGUAA
Molecule: ribosomal RNA, 515 nt
Filed under: uncultured bacterium
Lineage: Bacteria
Description: partial 16S ribosomal RNA
Rfam family: Bacterial small subunit ribosomal RNA
Source: RNAcentral